Molecule: long non-coding RNA, 272 nt
Filed under: Lathyrus oleraceus (garden pea)
Lineage: Eukaryota; Viridiplantae; Streptophyta; Magnoliopsida; Fabales; Fabaceae
Description: Pisum sativum (pea) long non-coding RNA (PSAT_LNC027632)
Source: RNAcentral
AGCCUGGCGCUUUUUUUUUGUUUUUUUAAACUCAAUUUGAGUUAAUUACCACGUGAUUAAAUUGAGUCCAUGCUGAAAUUACCUUGUCUUGCAUUGUUUCUGUUGGGCUCCAUGUACAUGGGUCCAACCUGUUUUGCUAGCCAUCAUUCUUAGUAGGCUCACACACCCCUUUGCCAUGACUGAAGAGCAUUAGGCCUUUUACCCAAGGCCCAUGCGCCUGGGUCUUUCUUACACCCUAAUUCCAGAAUCUAAACCCCCUGGCCCAUUAUUUU